GACCCCAUAGCUCAACAGGAUAGAGCGUUCGUUUCCUAAACGAUUGAUCCCCGUUCGAGUCGGGGUGGGGUCACCA
Molecule: transfer RNA, 76 nt
Filed under: Bdellovibrio sp.
Lineage: Bacteria; Pseudomonadati; Bdellovibrionota; Bdellovibrionia; Bdellovibrionales; Pseudobdellovibrionaceae
Also listed under: 4 other names
Description: tRNA-Arg
Rfam family: tRNA
About the family: Transfer RNA (tRNA) molecules are approximately 80 nucleotides in length.
Source: RNAcentral